Molecule: small RNA, 1343 nt
Filed under: Pan troglodytes (chimpanzee)
Lineage: Eukaryota; Metazoa; Chordata; Mammalia; Primates; Hominidae
Description: processed transcript
Source: RNAcentral
UCCCGGCACAGUCAGCCUCUGUGUGGGAGGACUGGUGGCUGUCUUUGCAGGCAGGCAUUUGCUUAGAGCAGGCUGUGUGCGAGCCCAGCGUCAAGUGAUUCCGGCCUCCUCGAGUCAGCGGUGGUGGGAUGAGGCUCUGCCGAGGGGACUGGCUGUGAAGGAUGAGUUCAGGGUGGGAUGACGGACCGCUUCUGGGACCAGUGGUAUCUCUGGUAUCUCCGCUUGCUCCGGCUGCUGGAUCGAGGUUAGAAGACAGGUCCCAGUCUUCCUAAUGAGGCAUUGAAAGUCUAGGUGGAAUAGAUGCUUGCUGGAGCCUGUGGAUAUUAUAAAAGAAAGAGCUCACUGCCUUAAAGUGGUCAGGAGAGGCAGGAGUGAGAGCCAAUGUGAAGGUGUGGGAGUUGGAAGGAACUUGGAACUCAACUUCUUUUGGCCCCUCAACUUGAGAUUCACAAAGAAAAAAAGCAAUGUCUCCUCGCUGAAAGCAAAAUGGAAGCUCCUCCUUGCACAGUGCAGCCCCUUCCUCACUGUAGGUUAUUCCAAGUGAGAAGAGUAAACAUGACUUCCAAAUGCCGUCUAACGAUAUAUGCAUAUCUAAAGGAGACAAGGAUGACUGAAUGCAUCUUCAUGUGUAGGAAGUGAAGUGUCUGUUGACAUUAAGUACUUCUUCAUGAGUGAGAGGAGGCCCAUGAUGGAGAUGACACCAGUACCUCCUUCUAGCACUCUGAAUUCCCAAUGUUUACUACUGCUGUCUCUGAAACUGCAGCAUCCUCACCAGGACCACACAGGGAACAAAGGCAAGACACCUGAAAUCCCUUUAGCCAUAUUCACAACACUUACUUCAUAGAUAAGAUGAUGUUUGAAAUAUGAGAAGGAUUUUUUUUUAAAAGAGCACUCUAUUCUCUUGGUAUCCUAGUAUGAGUGCCUGAAAGUGCACAUUGGCUAGAAGGUUUCAUGUGAGCAUCAGCCCCAGGGUCCAGAAGACACUCUUGGCAAGCCUGGAGAGUGAGUAUGUUGAACAGGCAAUGGAAGCAUCCAUGAAAGGCAGGCAACUGCGCACGACUUUCCAACAGAUGGCUGGUCAGUUGCACAGAGGGAAGGAGCCAUGGAUUCCAUGAUAAUGACACUUGUGCCAGCUUUUGUGUUUCCAGAAGUAUUGAAGAUAAAAGGGAACCACCACAUGUAGAGUAUGUGAAGUCUUACAGAGACGAGGUCCUAAGGUAUUUAUUUUGACAAAUCACGUUGCAAGUAAUGUGAAAGCAGUUUGAAGAAAAAAUGUCCCCAUCUAAUGCUGCAUUACGGCAUGCAUUUCUUUAGCCUGAAUCUGUCAGUGACAUGAAAAUACA